GCACAUUCCAUUGCCUUAUUCAAUUUAUUAUACUUAAAUAAAUUUACUAAUAAAUCCACCUUCCUCCGAUUUUUAAACCUAAAAUCCGUAUUUUUUUACUUAAAAUUGUAGCUCAUCGCUACCUUUCCAUAAGCUGCACCUUGACCUGAAGUAGGAAAAAUAUUUUUAUAGAAAACAUUCUUUUAAAGUAGUCUGACAACGGCGGUAUACAAGCUAAACAAGAAAAGGUAAGAUAAAAUGAGGUCUAUCAAUUAUAGGACAAGCUCCUCUAUUAGGAUGGGAUGCCGCCAAAAUCUUUGGGUUUGAAGAACAUCUUUUACUACCCUACNCAUANGAUUAUUUAGA
This 345-nucleotide ribosomal RNA is filed under the name Daphnia pulex x Daphnia pulicaria. Its description in RNAcentral is "partial 12S ribosormal RNA". Lineage: Eukaryota; Metazoa; Arthropoda; Branchiopoda; Diplostraca; Daphniidae. The record is from RNAcentral.